AGAGUUUGAUCAUGGCUCAGGAUGAACGCUGGCGGUCUGCUUAACACAUGCAAGUCGAACGGAAGUAGCAAUACUUUAGUGGCGGACGGGUGAGUAACGCGUGAGAAUCUACCUUCAGGACGGAGACAACAGUUGGAAACGACUGCUAACCCCCGAUGUACCGCAAGGGCAAAUAUUUAUAGCCUGAAGAAGAGCUCGCGUCCGAUUAGCUAGUUGGGGGGGUAAAAGCCCACCAAGGCGACGAUCGGUAGCUGGUCUGAGAGGACGAUCAGCCACACUGGGACUGAGACACGGCCCAGACUCCUACGGGAGGCAGCAGUGGGGAAUUUUCCGCAAUGGGCGCAAGCCUGACGGAGCAAGACCGCGUGGGGGAGGAAGGCUCUUGGGUUGUAAACCCCUUUUCUCUGGGAAGAACAAAAUGACGGUACCAGAGAAUCAGCUCCGAUCCCGUC
RNAcentral lists this ribosomal RNA (452 nucleotides) under uncultured cyanobacterium. RNAcentral describes it as "bacterial SSU rRNA". It matches the Rfam family "Bacterial small subunit ribosomal RNA", at positions 8 to 507 of the family's 1533-position model. The record is from RNAcentral. Lineage: Bacteria; Bacillati; Cyanobacteriota.